CAUCAUCCCACCUGGACCCACAAGCGGGCUGGUGCCAGGUCUGAUAGCUGCUGGCAUUUUCAUCAUGUUCCUGCUCUGCCUGUACACAAUCCUAUGGAAAUGCAUGGUGUCACCACCAAAUAGCAGGAAGAGAAAGAAACGCAACGUGACCAGCCCUCCUUCCCGGAAGACUCUCGUUGUAUGAUUGUGAAUUACCAACAUGCAGGACCUUGACUGCCUCAGCCCACAUAGUGCCAAUUCCAGCUCUGCAGACUGGC
This is a long non-coding RNA of Nanorana parkeri, 257 nucleotides long. RefSeq lists it as uncharacterized. The record is from RefSeq and is a predicted model, not a curated record. The transcript has 3 exons. Lineage: Eukaryota; Metazoa; Chordata; Amphibia; Anura; Dicroglossidae.